Molecule: non-coding RNA, 205 nt
Organism: Cinara cedri
Lineage: Eukaryota; Metazoa; Arthropoda; Insecta; Hemiptera; Aphididae
Source: the annotation of a GenBank genome assembly
CAGGGAUGGGAAUCAAUAAUAGGAGACUUAAAGAAACUAAUGAUAUUUGAGAAGAAAAUACUAAAGAGGAUAUUCGGCCAUAAAAAGAUCAAUGAAAACAAUAAAUAUCUAUAAAGGAUAAAGAAAAGGACAAACGCAGUUUAAAGGCAAACAUUUAACGAAACCGAUAAAGUAGGUGUCAUGAAAAGUCGAAGUCAUAGCUAGG